RNAcentral lists this long non-coding RNA (215 nucleotides) under Hordeum vulgare. RNAcentral's name for it is "long non-coding RNA (HVUL_LNC000514)". Lineage: Eukaryota; Viridiplantae; Streptophyta; Magnoliopsida; Poales; Poaceae. The record is from RNAcentral.
GACACCCGACUCCCGACCCCCGACACCCGACACCAUUGACCCCCGACACCCGACUCUCGACCCUCGACACCCGACUCUCGACCCCCGACGCCCGACGCCACCAACCCUCGACGCCUGACGCCACCAACCCCCGACCCUCGACCCCCGACCCCGACGCCACUCACACCCGACUCCCGACCCCCGACCCCCGACGCCCGACACCACUGACCCCCGAN